This 50-nucleotide small RNA is filed under the name Vibrio cholerae O1 biovar El Tor str. N16961. Lineage: Bacteria; Pseudomonadati; Pseudomonadota; Gammaproteobacteria; Vibrionales; Vibrionaceae. The record is from RNAcentral.
AUAAAAAAGACCCUUUCAUGAGAAAGGGCCUUGAACUCUAUUGCAAUCCU